RNAcentral lists this transfer RNA (67 nucleotides) under Sorineuchora bivitta. RNAcentral's name for it is "tRNA-His". Lineage: Eukaryota; Metazoa; Arthropoda; Insecta; Blattodea; Pseudophyllodromiidae. The record is from RNAcentral.
GUUUAAGUAGUUUAAUUAAAAUACUGAUUUGUGGUAUCAGUGAUAUACAUAUAUUGCAUCUUAAACU